UACGGGGGGGGCAAGCGUUGUUCGGAAUUACUGGGCGUAAAGGGCUCGUAGGCGGCCAACUAAGUCAGACGUGAAAUCCCUCGGCUUAACCGGGGAACUGCGUCUGAUACUGGAUGGCUUGAAUCCGGGAGAGGGAUGCGGAAUUCCCGGUGUAGCGGUGAAAUGCGUAGAUAUCGGGAAGAACACCCGUGGCGAAGGCGGCUCUCUGGUACGGAACUGACGCUGAGACGCGAAAGCGUGGGGAGCGAACAGG
Molecule: ribosomal RNA, 253 nt
Filed under: uncultured bacterium
Lineage: Bacteria
Description: partial 16S ribosomal RNA
Rfam family: Bacterial small subunit ribosomal RNA
Source: RNAcentral